AAUCAACGCUGGCGGCGUGCCUAACACAUGCAAGUCGAGCGAGAAAAGGGGGGCAACUCCCUGAGUACAGCGGCGCACGGGUGAGUAACACGUGGGUAAUCUGCCCUGAAGUGGGGAAUAACACCGGGAAACCGGUGCUAAUACCGCAUACGAUCACAGAGUCUGCGGAUUUUGUGAUGAAAGGAGCAAUUCGCUUUAGGAGGAGCCCGCGGCUGAUUAGCUUGUUGGUGAGGUAAUGGCUCACCAAGGCUACGAUCAGUAUCCGGUCUG
RNAcentral lists this ribosomal RNA (270 nucleotides) under uncultured bacterium. RNAcentral describes it as "partial 16S ribosomal RNA". It matches the Rfam family "Bacterial small subunit ribosomal RNA", at positions 32 to 294 of the family's 1533-position model. The record is from RNAcentral.